CAGUAGCCGCGGGAAUACGGAGGGUGCAAGCGUUAUCCGGAUUUAUUGGGUUUAAAGGGUCCGUAGGCGGAUCUGUAAGUCAGUGGUGAAAUCUCACAGCUUAACUGUGAAACUGCCAUUGAUACUGCAGGUCUUGAGUAAAUUUGAAGUGGCUGGAAUAAGUAGUGUAGCGGUGAAAUGCAUAGAUAUUACUUAGAACACCAAUUGCGAAGGCAGGUCACUAAGAUUUAACUGACGCUGAUGGACGAAAGCGUGGGGAGCGAACAGGAUUAGAUACCCCCGUAGUCCCUGUCUCUUAUAC
This 301-nucleotide ribosomal RNA is filed under the name uncultured bacterium. RNAcentral's name for it is "partial 16S ribosomal RNA". It matches the Rfam family "Bacterial small subunit ribosomal RNA", at positions 509 to 807 of the family's 1533-position model. The record is from RNAcentral.